UUGCUUCUUUGUUAGGAAAAGAUAUUUUAUAAAAAUGCAGUUGCCUUUUGAAUUUUUCGUCAUGGUGACAUCAAUGAUCUGCAAUAUCCUUACCAUCGCCGUUUAUCUUUUCGUAAAGAAACUUCAAAAUACACUUGGAAAGUGCAUUAUGAGCUGCCUUUUCAGCAUGGUCAUGGCGCACUUUAUUUUGGUACUCCAUAAGCUGGAUGUGCUAGUGGAAGGCGUUUCCUCAAAUAUAUUUAUUUUCUUUGUGAUUGCCUACGUUUUAUGGCUUUCUGCCAUAAGUUUUCAUUUGUGGAAAAGCUUCAAAUCGGUCAAGAAGGAAGAAGAUUGGUAUCAAUUUUUGGUCUACAGUGCUCUUGUCUGGAUCACGGCUGCUGUCAUAAUAGGAAUUCGUUAUUUCAUGAAUAAAUUCGAGUUGGAGAACGCAUUCGUUUUGAUUGUAUUUUGAAACUGACAUUGUCAGUUAUGUUUCGUUACCUAGGCUGGCUGCUGCUGAGUAUCUUCAACUUGAUCAUGUUCAUUUUGACUGCUAUUCACAUUUGGAAAGUAAAGAGAGAUCUGAAGAUGUGUACAAGACAGGAAGAGACCACAACAACUUGCCUUGAUUUCGACAACCAAACGCUUGCAAUUUUUCUGCGAUUGUUCGUCAUGGUGGAUGUCUCUUGGUUAAUUUUUUCAAUUAUUUUAAUUGUUACAUUUUUUAAAGACGUUAAUCCAUUUCUUAAUCUGAUCAUUAGUGUUCAUUACUUUUUUGGCAUUUUCAAUUUUAUUUUACUUGUUUGUAAGCGUAGUACCAUAAAACUGAUCGAGGAAAGCAUUCGAGAAAGACGGCCUUCUUUAAAAACCCUAUAUUAACUAUGUGCUCAGUUUCUUAUUCUCAGUUUUCUACAUUUAAAAAAUACCUUUUAAGCUACAACACAUAUUGUCAAACGAAUAUUGUGAAAAAUAAAAAAUAUAUC
RNA transcript from Drosophila biarmipes, 962 nucleotides. It is a transcript of the gene named probable G-protein coupled receptor Mth-like 12, with no coding region annotated. Lineage: Eukaryota; Metazoa; Arthropoda; Insecta; Diptera; Drosophilidae. The record is from RefSeq and is a predicted model, not a curated record. The transcript is spliced from 6 exons.